This 253-nucleotide ribosomal RNA is filed under the name uncultured bacterium. Its description in RNAcentral is "partial 16S ribosomal RNA". It matches the Rfam family "Bacterial small subunit ribosomal RNA", at positions 524 to 776 of the family's 1533-position model. The record is from RNAcentral.
UACGUAGGGGGCAAGCGUUGUCCGGAAUCAUUGGGCGUAAAGAGCGUGUAGGCGGUUCGGUAAGUCGGCUGUGAAAGUCCAGGGCUCAACCCUGGGAUGCCGGUCGAUACUGCCGGACUAGAGCUCGGAAGAGGCGAGUGGAAUUCCCGGUGUAGCGGUGAGAUGCGCAGAUAUCGGGAGGAACACCUAUGGCGAAGGCAGCUCGCUGGGACGUUACUGACGCUGAGACGCGAAAGCGUGGGGAGCAAACAGG